GGUUAAGCGACUAAGCGUACACGGUGGAUGCCCUGGCAGUCAGAGGCGAUGAAGGACGUGCUAAUCUGCGAUAAGCGCCGGUAAGGUGAUAUGAACCGUUAUAACCGGCGAUUUCCGAAUGGGGAAACCCAGUGUGACUCGUCACACUAUCAUUAACUGAAUCCAUAGGUUAAUGAGGCGAACCGGGGGAACUGAAACAUCUAAGUACCCCGAGGAAAAGAAAUCAACCGAGAUUCCCCCAGUAGCGGCGAGCGAACGGGGAGGAGCCCAGAGCCUGAAUCAGCAUGUGUGUUAGUGGAAGCGUCUGGAAAGGCGCGCGAUACAGGGUGACAGCCCCGUACACAAAAGCGCAUAUGCUGUGAGCUCGAUGAGUAGGGCGGGACACGUGGUAUCCUGUCUGAAUAUGGGGGGACCAUCCUCCAAGGCUAAAUACUCCUGACUGACCGAUAGUGAACCAGUACCGUGAGGGAAAGGCGAAAAGAACCCCGGCGAGGGGAGUGAAAAAGAACCUGAAACCGUGUACGUACAAGCAGUGGGAGCACCCUUUUGGGUGUGACUGCGUACCUUUUGUAUAAUGGGUCAGCGACUUAUAUUCUGUAGCAAGGUUAACCGAAUAGGGGAGCCGGAGGGAAACCGAGUCUUAAUUGGGCGUUAAGUUGCAGGGUAUAGACCCGAAACCCGGUGAUCUAGCCAUGGGCAGGUUGAAGGUUGGGUAACACUAACUGGAGGACCGAACCGACUAAUGUUGAAAAAUUAGCGGAUGACCUGUGGCUGGGGGUGAAAGGCCAAUCAAACCGGGAGAUAGCUGGUUCUCCCCGAAAGCUAUUUAGGUAGCGCCUCGUGAAUUCAUCUCCGGGGGUAGAGCACUGUUUCGGCUAGGGGGCCAUCCCGGCUUACCAACCCGAUGCAAACUGCGAAUACCGGAGAAUGUUAUCACGGGAGACACACGGCGGGUGCUAACGUCCGUCGUGAAGAGGGAAACAACCCAGACCGCCAGCUAAGGUCCCAAAGUCAUGGUUAAGUGGGAAACGAUGUGGGAAGGCCCAGACAGCCAGGAUGUUGGCUUAGAAGCAGCCAUCAUUUAAAGAAAGCGUAAUAGCUCACUGGUCGAGUCGGCCUGCGCGGAAGAUGUAACGGGGCUAAACCAU
RNAcentral lists this ribosomal RNA (1148 nucleotides) under Salmonella enterica. Its description in RNAcentral is "partial 23S ribosomal RNA". It matches the Rfam family "Bacterial large subunit ribosomal RNA", at positions 1 to 1190 of the family's 2925-position model. The record is from RNAcentral. Lineage: Bacteria; Pseudomonadati; Pseudomonadota; Gammaproteobacteria; Enterobacterales; Enterobacteriaceae.